This 468-nucleotide ribosomal RNA is filed under the name uncultured bacterium. Its description in RNAcentral is "partial 16S ribosomal RNA". It matches the Rfam family "Bacterial small subunit ribosomal RNA", at positions 28 to 507 of the family's 1533-position model. The record is from RNAcentral.
GACGAACGCUGGCGGCGUGCUUAACACAUGCAAGUCGAACGGAAAGGCCCUGCUUUUGUGGGGUGCUCGAGUGGCGAACGGGUGAGUAACACGUGAGUAACCUGCCCUUGACUUUGGGAUAACUUCAGGAAACUGGGGCUAAUACCGGAUAGGAGCUCCUGCUGCAUGGUGGGGGUUGGAAAGUUUCGGCGGUUGGGGAUGGACUCGCGGCUUAUCAGCUUGUUGGUGGGGUAGUGGCUUACCAAGGCUUUGACGGGUAGCCGGUCUGAGAGGGUGACCGGCCACAUUGGGGCUGAGAUACGGCCCAGACUCCUACGGGAGGCAGCAGUGGGGAAUAUUGCACAAUGGGCGGAAGCCUGAUGCAGCAACGCCGCGUGCGGGAUGACGGCCUUCGGGUUGUAAACCGCUUUCGCCUGUGACGAAGCGUGAGUGACGGUAAUGGGUAAAGAAGCACCGGCUAACUACGUG